AUGGAGGAUGAGGAGGAGGAGGAGGUGGUGGAGGACGCCGCCGCCAAGAGGAGGCUGGUUGUUCGUCAGAUUUCUGAGGGUGGGGAUGGACCCUCACGGGUGACAGAGCACCACGAGGUGAGCGGUUUGCAACCGAGUGGUUCGACUAUCAGCACUACUUCCAGAGGGAAAGUGUGGCUGCGUGGUCCUUCAAAGAUUCCAAGACGUCCAUAUGUGCAUAGAGACGUGUUGAUUAAACCAAUGGGAGAGAAAAGCUUAGUAAAAGGCGGUGAGAGGCGUCUGCCACGGUCACCGAGUGGCAUCAUUGGGGGUCUUUGUAGGUUAAAUUACCCUGGACUGCUCACUUUACCGAACGGUAUCAUUGAGCCAGCUUGGUCAUGGGAUCACUACAAACUUGCACCGGAUUUCCUGGAUAUGCGUCAGAGGGUUUAUGAUAACAGAGCCAUGCGAGUGGUCAACGAUUUCUGGGAUUUCUAUACAUGCGUUGAGGGUCAGAAGGAUUGUGCAAAUGUGGUGGUUGAUAAUAUUGCCAAGAAACUAGUCCACGACAUGCACUAUGAGGAGCGCGUCCGGUUAGUGGUCAAGUAUCACGCGGACUAUCUCAACCAUAGGAUUUCCAAACAGGAGGCUCGAGGGACGCAUCUUUGA
This 648-nucleotide ribosomal RNA is filed under the name Triticum aestivum (bread wheat). Its description in RNAcentral is "partial small subunit ribosomal RNA". Lineage: Eukaryota; Viridiplantae; Streptophyta; Magnoliopsida; Poales; Poaceae. The record is from RNAcentral.